RNAcentral lists this ribosomal RNA (869 nucleotides) under Cercosporella virgaureae. Its description in RNAcentral is "eukaryotic LSU rRNA". It matches the Rfam family "Eukaryotic large subunit ribosomal RNA", at positions 33 to 931 of the family's 3401-position model. The record is from RNAcentral. Lineage: Eukaryota; Fungi; Ascomycota; Dothideomycetes; Mycosphaerellales; Mycosphaerellaceae.
CUUAAGCAUAUCAAUAAGCGGAGGAAAAGAAACCAACAGGGAUUGCCCUAGUAACGGCGAGUGAAGCGGCAACAGCUCAAAUUUGAAAUCUGGCGCAAGCCCGAGUUGUAAUUUGUAGAGGAUGCUUCUGGGCAGCGGCCGGUCUAAGUUCCUUGGAACAGGACGUCAUAGAGGGUGAGAAUCCCGUAUGUGACUGGCGCGCACCCUCCACGUAGCUCCUUCGACGAGUCGAGUUGUUUGGGAAUGCAGCUCUAAAUGGGAGGUAAAUUUCUUCUAAAGCUAAAUACCGGCCAGAGACCGAUAGCGCACAAGUAGAGUGAUCGAAAGAUGAAAAGCACUUUGGAAAGAGAGUUAAAAAGCACGUGAAAUUGUUGAAAGGGAAGCGCCUACAACCAGACUUCGCGGCAGUGUUCCGCCGGUCUUCUGACCGGUCCACUCUCUGUCGCGAGGCCAUCAUCGUCUGGGCCCGUCGGAUAAGACCUUGGGAAUGUAGCUCACCUUCGGGGGAGUGUUAUAGCCCAUGGUGAUGCGACGCGGCCCGGGCGAGGUCCGCGCUUCGGCAAGGAUGAUGGCGUAAUGGUUGUCGGCGGCCCGUCUUGAAACACGGACCAAGGAGUCUAACAUCUAUGCGAGUGUUCGGGUGUCAAACCCCUACGCGUAAUGAAAGUGAACGGAGGUGGGAACCGCAAGGUGCACCAUCGACCGAUCCUGAUGUCCUCGGAUGGAUUUGAGUAAGAGCAUAGCUGUUGGGACCCGAAAGAUGGUGAACUAUGCCUGAAUAGGGUGAAGCCAGAGGAAACUCUGGUGGAGGCUCGCAGCGGUUCUGACGUGCAAAUCGAUCGUCAAAUUUGGGUAUAGGGGCGAAAGAC